Meleagris gallopavo (turkey) is the source of this 90-nucleotide microRNA precursor. The record is from Ensembl. Lineage: Eukaryota; Metazoa; Chordata; Aves; Galliformes; Phasianidae.
CUCAGAUCUGGCUCUACGUUGUCCUCAUUGUACAUGCUGUGUGUAUUUGCCACGUACACAGCGCAUGCAAUGUGGACAUAAUGGAGCUCA